UCAAUGCAGGACGUGGGAGUGGGGAGGGACGCACACUCUGUAAACAGGAAUAGGUGCAACUCCGAUCACUGAGCUGGCAAGCUUAAGGUAGCUAGUUAGUCACAUAAAUGUACGUUCAGACUGUUAAUUAUUUCAGUCAGAUUUUACGAAGUCAGCAUGGCUUAACAUAGUUGCUUUCGUUUUUGACCUCGACAUUUUUGCUGGAUAGAUACUGUCAUAGCUAACAUGCUGGCGCUGCUAGCUAGCUAAUGCCGCUCAUAUCUGGAUGCAUCACUAUUUCCGGAGAGAGCAGCAUACUGGCCCUCCAUUCCCAACCCUGAAGCCCCCUGUCCCCAGCAGGAAAGACCAGGAAAAUGUGUUGGCUUAACUUCCUAUUGAGGAAAUGAGCCUGUCUGUUACGCAAAUGCAGUAAGAAGCCAAGAUCUGCCAACCUGCUCGGUGGGUGACAGUUAACUGUCUUUCCACCAAGCUGUUCACUUCCUGGAGUGGCACACUGGAACUUCCAGAGGCUUGUAGACCUGAAGCAGUGUGAUGUGGUCCAGACACCACCAAAACAACCACUAUGUGGAUUUGACAGCUCUAACCUUUCCCCCUCAGACACCACCAAAACAACCACUAUGUGGAUUUGACAGCUCUAACAGUUCCCCCUCAGACACCACUCAAACUCAACCACAGUCGUCACAGCUGUAGUCGUCUGCCCCUGCAUCUGCUACCCCGGCCACGACAGGUGAUACAGAUCUGCCACCCCCCAGUUCAGCUGCAGUCACAGCAGUCCUCUGCUGUGCUAUUUAAUUUACCAGCUGCACCAGUUCCUACUACACUGGCCUUGAAGGGAGAAACUUUUGAGGAUUCCUAGAUGGAUGCAGACAGACAGCCUCACCCAGAAGUGCAUACACUGGGUCUAUCAAGACUGACAAGCAGAGAUGGGUGGCUGACAAAGAAAAAUAAAACAUGCCCUCACACACAUUAUCCACGUUGUAAAUAUGUUGUAAUUGCUUGUUUAUUUAAUCUUUGCUCCAUUUUAUUUUAGGAUUGGAGAUAUCUACUCCUACAUGUCCAUUCUCAAUAUCUACAUAAUUACACUAAAUAUCUAUCAAAUCAGUGUAAUUGACAAGAUUGUGAAAGACUGUGGCUUAAUGUAUACAGUUAGAGGAAAUUCUGUGUGCUUUUUUCUGAAUUGAAAAACAUGUCUCUCACACACACACACAUUGUCUAAUUUAAAUAAAUUGCAAUAACUUGUUUAUUUUAUGUAUGCUCCAUUUUAUUUGACGAAAAUAUCUGCAAUAAAGUACAUUCACAGUUAAAGCAAUGUCUUUGGUUUAU
Long non-coding RNA from Oncorhynchus gorbuscha (pink salmon), 1323 nucleotides. RefSeq lists it as uncharacterized. The transcript has 8 exons. NCBI's taxonomy places the organism in Eukaryota, Metazoa, Chordata, Actinopteri, Salmoniformes, Salmonidae. The record is from RefSeq and is a predicted model, not a curated record.